This 164-nucleotide small RNA is filed under the name Sphenodon punctatus (tuatara). RNAcentral's name for it is "TUC338 (ENSSPUG00000000861.1)". Lineage: Eukaryota; Metazoa; Chordata; Lepidosauria; Sphenodontia; Sphenodontidae. The record is from RNAcentral.
GAAUCAGCCCAGUUGGUGUUCCCCUCUACGCACAGAAAGAUCCAGCUUGGGUAGCAGCAGUACAAGCUUCUCCAUAUUGCCAAACUAGCCAGCCUUUCCCUUUUUCUGGAGAAACCAUGUUUAGCAGUGAGAGUACAGCUGAGACUCCAUAAUUAUAGGUGACU